UACUACUUACCUCCACUGUCAAGGACCCACUGCCUGCCACUCUGCAAACUGGUGCAGUGUGUGGAAACCCUUCAGCAUCCAUUCAACCUUCAUCCCCCUCCUUCUAGUCAGUCAGGCAUGAAUCUCAAGAAAUAACACAUCAAAUGACACUAUUUCUACUGGACCUUACAAAAACUCACCAGCAACUUUAUUUUAGGAACAAAAUGGUGUUCUAUAAAAAAAUACAAAACUUAUUCUCACAAAAGGCCUACAACUUGUCAAGUGAGAAAAUUCAGGGAAAAAAACUAGCAAACAUGUUAACCACUUAUAAGAGAGUAAAAGACAGGCGCCGUGCAACUGGGGAGGGGAAGAUCACCUGGGAGUACUAUACACUAAUGGAUGAGUUAUUUGGGUCAUCGGGGAUCAGUACUGCACCACCUGGCACCAUUCAAUCCACACCUCUGGGUUUGGAAGAGACCUCCUCCAAAAGCAGGCCCACAACAUCUUCUCUUCAAGACCAGCCAGCAGGUGCUAGUAUGGAUGAACAGCCAGGAACCUCUACCAUACAAAAUACAAACAUCACAAGCAGGCAAAGAGGACCACAACCCUUACAAUUUCUGGAGGCUUACAGAGAGCAUGCAGAGAGAAGGACUGCUGUGCUUGAGUCCCUGGUAAGGCCAGAUCUGGAGAGAUGGUGGCAACUUAAGGAGAGGCGGAGAAGGUCCUUCGAAAAAAAGAUGGUGACCAGCUUGGAAACAAUUG
Molecule: long non-coding RNA, 741 nt
Organism: Rhinichthys klamathensis goyatoka
Lineage: Eukaryota; Metazoa; Chordata; Actinopteri; Cypriniformes; Leuciscidae
Exons: 3
Source: RefSeq, a predicted model, not a curated record